CAGUAGCCGCGGGAAUACAGAGGAUGCAAGCGUUAUCCGGAAUGAUUGGGCAUAAAGUGUCUGUAGGUGGCUUUUCAAGUCCGCCGUCAAAUCCCAGGGCUCAACCUUGGACAGGCGGUGGAAACUACCAAGCUGGAGGACGGUAGGGGCAGAGGGAAUUUCCGGUGGAGCGAUGAAAUGCGUUGAGAUCGGAAAGAACACCAACGGCGAAAGCACUCUGCUGGGCCGACACUGACACUGAGAGACGAAAGCUAGGGGAGCAAAUGGGAUUAGAUACCCGUGUAGUCCCUGUCUCUUAUAC
Molecule: ribosomal RNA, 301 nt
Filed under: uncultured bacterium
Lineage: Bacteria
Description: partial 16S ribosomal RNA
Rfam family: Bacterial small subunit ribosomal RNA
Source: RNAcentral